Molecule: ribosomal RNA, 253 nt
Filed under: uncultured bacterium
Lineage: Bacteria
Description: partial 16S ribosomal RNA
Rfam family: Bacterial small subunit ribosomal RNA
Source: RNAcentral
UACGUAGGGUGCAAGCGUUGUCCGGAAUUACUGGGCGUAAAGAGCUCGUAGGUGGUUUGUCGCGUUGUCCGUGAAAACUCACAACUCAAUUGUGGGCGUGCGGGCGAUACGGGCAGACUGGAGUACUGCAGGGGAGACUGGAAUUCCUGGUGUAGCGGUGGAAUGCGCAGAUAUCAGGAGGAACACCGGUGGCGAAGGCUGGUCUCUGGGCAGUAACUGACGCUGAGGAGCGAAAGCGUGGGGAGCGAACAGG